This 889-nucleotide ribosomal RNA is filed under the name Malmideaceae sp. Its description in RNAcentral is "partial small subunit ribosomal RNA". It matches the Rfam family "Bacterial small subunit ribosomal RNA", at positions 370 to 1210 of the family's 1533-position model. Lineage: Eukaryota; Fungi; Ascomycota; Lecanoromycetes; Lecanorales; Malmideaceae. The record is from RNAcentral.
AAUAGCCUAACGGCUGAACCAGCAACUUGGAGGAAUGUAUGGCGAAAGCUAAUUGUAACCAUAUAUACAUGGUACGAUAUCGAUUUAAUCGAAUAAAAUUCUGGGUAGAAUUUGAUAAUGACAUUUUCUAUCUAUAUUUCUUGACCAAACCACGUGCCAGCAGUCGCGGCAACACGUAGCAGAUUAGUGUUAUUCAUCUUUAUUAGGUUUAAAGGGUACCUAGACGGCAAAUUUAGCUUAUAUAAAUAAAUAUUUAUGGGUACUAUUUUGCUAGAGUUACUUAUGAGGGGGCUUGAAAGUACUUUCGGUGUAGAGAUAAAAUUCUUUAAUACCCCGUCAUUUAGAUGUUAAUGGCACUGGUAAAAGCGAAAGCAUCCUUUUAUGUGAUAACUGACGUUGAGGGACGAAGGCUUUGGUAACAAACAGGAUUAGAUACCCUAAUAGUCAAGGCAGAAAAUUAUGAGUGUCAUAGAUUAGGUAAAACUUAUUCUAUAAAUUAAAGUGUAAGCAUUCCACCUCAAGAGUAAUUUGGCAACAUUGGAACUGAAAUCAUUAGACCGUUUCUGAANNNNNNNNNNNNNNNNNNNNNNUAAUUAGAUGAUACGCAAAGCACCUUACCACAAUUUGAAUGGAUACACUUAUAAAUUGUAUUUUUAUAUCAUUAAUAAAAUUAAUAAUUUUAUUAAUAGUGUAAGCGUUUUUUUUUAACAAAAUUUCGCUAACAAGCGCUGCAUGGUUGUUUUUAGUUAAUGUCGCGAGAUUUUGGUUAGUUCCAUAAAAUUAACGUAAACCCUUAUUUUAUUUUAUUUAUAUAUAAAAUAGUUCUCCAUUAUAUAGGAUAUGAUAACAGGGAUCAAGACAAGUCAUCAUGGCCUAAUAUAGAUAUUGU